CUUUUCUGCCCUCACUUGCUUAGGGCAUUUGUCCACGUGCAGGUUGAGACCAUCCCGGCCAAGUACAUUCUCCGUAGCACUACCUGCCCAAAGAACCCCAACAACUUCGACAAGCUACAGAAGGUGUUGAAUAGGGGUAAAGGGAAGAGGGGCCGACCAAGGGGUAGCGGUAAGCGUAUAGCGGGGGUUUCAGCCAAUGUUAGGAGGAGGCUUGAAGAGGAAAUGGAUGAUGGGGUUGACGAGGAUGAAGAGAUGAUUGAUGGCGAGGAUGAUUCUGGAAGUGGCGCCGACCUAUGA
This 297-nucleotide long non-coding RNA is filed under the name Oryza sativa Indica Group (long-grained rice). RNAcentral describes it as "lncRNA OsGoSa_11g0001520". The record is from RNAcentral. Lineage: Eukaryota; Viridiplantae; Streptophyta; Magnoliopsida; Poales; Poaceae.